CAUUAGCCGCGGUAAUACGAAGGGUGCAAGCGUUAAUCGGAAUUACUGGGCGUAAAGCGUGCGCAGGCGGUUCGCUAAGACAGAUGUGAAAUCCCCGGGCUUAACCUGGGAACUGCGUUUGUGACUGGCAAGCUAGAGUAUGGCAGAGGGGGGUGGAAUUCCGCGUGUAGCAGUGAAAUGCGUAGAUAUGCGGAGGAACACCGAUGGCGAAGGCAGCCCCCUGGGCCAAUACUGACGCUCAUGCACGAAAGCGUGGGGAGCAAACAGGAUUAGAUACCCGUGUAGUCCCUGUCUCUUAUAC
Molecule: ribosomal RNA, 301 nt
Filed under: uncultured bacterium
Lineage: Bacteria
Description: partial 16S ribosomal RNA
Rfam family: Bacterial small subunit ribosomal RNA
Source: RNAcentral